UUUACAAGCAUGGUGCAC
This 18-nucleotide non-coding RNA is filed under the name Arabidopsis thaliana (thale cress). The record is from RNAcentral. Lineage: Eukaryota; Viridiplantae; Streptophyta; Magnoliopsida; Brassicales; Brassicaceae.